ACUCCUACGGGAGGCAGCAGUGGGGAAUAUUGGACAAUGGGGGCAACCCUGAUCCAGCCAUGCCGCGUGAGUGAAGAAGGCCCUAGGGUCGUAAAGCUCUUUCAACUGUGAAGAUAAUGACGGUAGCAGUAGAAGAAGCACCGGCUAACUCCGUGCCAGCAGCCGCGGUAAUACGGAGGGUGCGAGCGUUAAUCGGAAUUACUGGGCGUAAAGCGCAUGCAGGUGGUUUGUUAAGUCAGAUGUGAAAGCCCGGGGCUCAACCUCGGAACUGCAUUUGAAACUGGCAGACUAGAGUACUGUAGAGGGGGGUAGAAUUUCAGGUGUAGCGGUGAAAUGCGUAGAGAUCUGAAGGAAUACCGGUGGCGAAGGCGGCCCCUGGACAGAUACUGACACUCAGAUGCGAAAGCGUGGGAGCAAACAGGAUUAGAUACCCUGGUAGGUGA
RNAcentral lists this ribosomal RNA (443 nucleotides) under uncultured bacterium. Its description in RNAcentral is "bacterial SSU rRNA". It matches the Rfam family "Bacterial small subunit ribosomal RNA", at positions 335 to 797 of the family's 1533-position model. The record is from RNAcentral.